Tachyglossus aculeatus (Australian echidna) is the source of this 1138-nucleotide long non-coding RNA. RefSeq lists it as uncharacterized. Lineage: Eukaryota; Metazoa; Chordata; Mammalia; Monotremata; Tachyglossidae. The record is from RefSeq and is a predicted model, not a curated record. The transcript has 2 exons.
CUCUUUCUCUCACUCGCUUCCUCUUUCCUCUUGUGCUCGCUCUCACUUCUGGUGUGAGUGAGCCUGCAGGGGACAGUCCAGCUGCAGCAUGGGGGCACAGAUGGGGCUGGGGCUGCAGCCCCCCCGACCUGAGACCUGACUAGGUUUAUCCUUACGGCCAAGGAAGGAGCCUGAGCCCCAGGUGCAUCCUGGAAGACCCUGCCCCCUGAUCCAACCCCGCCUCCCAAGGACGUGUUGGUGCAGACAGGACUGGACAGAACGGAAGCCAUGGCACAGCCCUGAACUGGACUACCCGACCCCACGGACAGUGGAGGACUGACCGGCUAUUCACCUGGUGUUAUGGACACUUGUAGAUAGAUUGCGCCGGCCCCACCAUGAGGGAAUCGGUUGGCACUGGACUGCUGCCCCCGGCCACCACUGCUGCCCCGUGGACACCCCUCCCCGCCCCCAGCCUGCAACUGUAUCCCCUCCUUCAAGACAAUGCCAUUUCCUUUCGUAUUCAAGGGUCAAACACUGCAUCAUGGGUGCCAAACCAGUCUCUUGCAACUCUAGGAGGCGAUGGAGGUGUGUGCAUGUAUGUGUGUCUGUUUCUUGUGUGAGAGCAAGGGCCGGGACAGGAGCAGGGUGAAAGGGGCUGCCCCUCUUUGGAUGGGUAAAGGUUUCUGGAAACUGGGGUCUAGAGUCCUGGGCCCGUACUCUGUGGACCUCAAGACCGGGCGUGAAGUCGUCCUGGGGCCCUUAAUUCUAUAGUCAGUGCGACUUCCUCCUGCUCUGGUCCAUUGGGAGUUAUCGGGCCUGCUCUGGCUUCAAGAGUACAGACUCUCUUUCCCGCCCAAGGGGGGUGACCCUGGGGGAGCGAGGGACAGGAGUAGUGGUGUGUGGGUGUGUGUGUGUCUAUCUGUAUGCACGUGUCACUACCCUAUGUCCUCCAUCCCUCCUGGAUGAGCACAAAGAGGUGGGGAGAGAACUAGCAGCAAAUUCUAAAGUGGGAAGAUGCAGAAUGGUUUCCCUCCCAUCCUACCAACAGAAAUGACAUGGUCUGGCCCCCUCCUCUCCUCCUCCCCUCUCUGUCCCCUUGGCUGCCUGGGCUCUGUAAGCCCAUCUACAUCUGUAUGGAAUAAAAUGGAUUUUUUUUGUC